Long non-coding RNA from Varroa destructor (honeybee mite), 930 nucleotides. NCBI's taxonomy places the organism in Eukaryota, Metazoa, Arthropoda, Arachnida, Mesostigmata, Varroidae. The record is from RefSeq and is a predicted model, not a curated record.
UGGGCUCAAGGCAGUACCCUAUCAACGGACCUUGAUAUUGUGCGGGUUAUGCAUGACUACAUUAUGAACAAAGGCAUGCCCAUUGAAGUACAGCAAGGGUUGCGGCGUUUUAUAUUCUAAUAUCAAUGAAGAAUUGGCGUAGUGGUAUAAUAAUUUCGUUGGUGACAGUAAGAACCCAUUGAGAUCGUAUAAUCUAACAAUCACAAAUCAUUAACGAUAACGACACCGAUGGCAAGCUAGGGCUUCUAACUAAAAUUGCCGUACGCCACCUGUAUACUGAGCAAACACCUCGACAAGUUACACCGCCAAAAAAGUAAUGGACUACAGAGUUUGCGACUGCUGAUCUUAGAUGAACAUAUCCAACAUUGGAACUAUAAUUGCAUUGAUUAAAUUUGGCCAAAGCCCGUCGCGGCUUCCUAUUCGCAGUUCUCCUGAUUGUGAAGUCGGGUGACAUCAUGCGUCCUGUUGUCGUUCUUAUUAUCCUAUUUAUAGCGACAAGCUUCAGUAAGAAAAACUACACUGUGUGCAUCCUUGAGCGCUUCAAUAAGGCCCUGAAGAAAAGUAACGAAGUUCAAAACAUCCAACAAUGUAUUGAUGAGUUUAGACGUACUCUUGUCUCUUAUAUUCUGCCUAAAAGUAGGGACAGGCCAGAGUACUUGCGAGGGUCAUUCCUGAUGGCGGAGUCAGGUCGUGUGAUAAACAGCGAAGUCAAGCAUUGUAUGGAUGAGAAAAAAGUCCCGAGUUACCCGCAACAGAUGGUUGUAAACGUAGAGUUGAUUGAGGCAGUUUUAAAUGUAAUAAAUGAAGAAACUGCAAGAAUUUGCAAUGAGAGAAAUGCCUCGACGACCAGCUAAAAUAGCCCUAGCGCUAGAGCCAGUAAUAUAAUAUUAGAAAAUGUUGAUACUAAAUAUAAUAAACAUCACUGAAGAC